RNAcentral lists this long non-coding RNA (592 nucleotides) under Phasianus colchicus (ring-necked pheasant). Its description in RNAcentral is "lncRNA (ENSPCLG00000017328.1)". The record is from RNAcentral. Lineage: Eukaryota; Metazoa; Chordata; Aves; Galliformes; Phasianidae.
GCAGGGCUGUUAUCGGGGUGUUUUUGGGGUGCUGCAGGGCUGUUUUUGGGGUGUUUUUGGGGUGUUGUAGGGCUGUUUUUGGGGUGUUGCGGUGCCGUUCCCACACUCACCCUCCACCAGGCGGCCGUCGUCGGUGCGACACACGCAGCUGUCUGUGGACAGGAGAUCCUCCACCUGCAUCUGUGGGGCCGGGGUCACAAGGAACCACUUAUGGGGCACAGGGACCCCCCAUCCUGCCCCACGGAAUCACUUAUGGGGCACAAGGAACCACUUAUGGGGCACUGGGACCCCCAUCCUGCCCUGUGGAACCACUUAUGGGGCACAGGAACCACUUAUGGGGCACAAGGAACCCCAAUUCUGUCCCAUAACACCACUGAUGGGGCACGGAACCCCCCAUCCUGCCUCACAGAACCACUUAUGGGGCACAGGCCCACACUUAUGGGGCACAGAUCCCCACUUAUGGGGCACGGAAACCCCCAUCCCGCCCCACAGAACCACUUAUGGGGCACAGACCCCCCCCCUUAUAUGGCACAAACCCCCACUUAUGGGGCACAGAACCCCACUUAUGGGGCAAGGAACCCCCCAUUCCGCC